CCUGGCUCAGAAUGAACGCUGGCGGCGUGCUUAACACAUGCAAGUCGCACGAGAACACCUCAGCUUGCUGGGGUAAGUAAAGUGGCGUACGGGUGAGUAACGCGUGGGUAAUCUGCCCUCGAAUCUGGGAUAACCCCGCGAAAGCGGGGCUAAUACCGGAUGAAAUCCAGUUAGCUUUGGCUAUAUGGAUCAAAGGUGGCCUCUGCAUGCAAGCUACUGUUUGGGGAUGAGCCCGCGUACCAUUAGCUUGUUGGUGGGGUAAAGGCCCACCAAGGCGACGAUGGUUAGCUGGUCUGAGAGGAUGAUCAGCCACACUGGAACUGGAACACGGUCCAGACUCCUACGGGAGGCAGCAGUGAGGAAUUUUGCGCAAUGGGGGUAACCCUGACGCAGCAACGCCGCGUGAGUGAUGAAGGCCUUCGGGUCGUAAAGCUCUGUCAAGUGGGAAGAACCCAUUCCGGCACAACAAGCCGGGGUGCUGACGGUACCACUGAAGGAAGCACCGGCUAACUCCGUGCCAGCAGCCGCGGUAAUACGGAGGGUGCGAGCGUUAUUCGGAAUUACUGGGCGUAAAGGGCGCGUAGGCGGCCGAUUAAGUCAGAUGUGAAAUCCCGGGGCUUACCCCCGGAAGUGCAUUUGAUACUGAACGGCUUGAGUAUGGGAGAGGGAAGUGGAAUUCCUGGUGUAGCGGUGAAAUGCGUAGAUAUCAGGAGGAACACCGGUGGCGAAGGCGACUUCCUGGACCAAUACUGACGCUGAGGCGCGAAGGCGUGGGGAGCAAACAGGAUUAGAUACCCUGGUAGUCCACGCAGUAAACGGUGAUCACUAGGUGUAGCGGGUAUUGACCCCUGCUGUGCCGGAGUUAACGCAUUAAGUGAUCCGCCUGGGGAGUACGGCCGCAAGGUUAAAAUUUAAGUGAUUUGAUCGGGGGUUAGUACAAGUGGUGGAGUAUGUGGUUUAAUUAGAGAGGAAUGUGAAGAACUUUACGAUGGAUUUGACAUAUUCGGGAAUACAAGCGGAUACGAUGGGAGUGACAUUCGGGGAGCCCGAAGACAGGUGCUGCAUGGCUGUUGUCAGCUCGUGUCGUGAGAUGUUGGGUUAAGUCCAGCAAUGAGCGCAACCCCUAUAUUCAGUUACCAGCAGAGUAAAGUCGGGGAGUCUGGAGAUACUGCAUCGGUCAACGGGGAGGAAGGUGGGGAUGACGUGAAGUCCUCAUGGCAUUUAUGUCAAGGGCUACACACGUGCUACAAUGGGCUGUACAGAGGGAAGCGAUCUCGCGAGGGUGAGCCAAUCCCAAAAAGCAGUCAUCAGUUCGGAUUGGAGUCUGCAACUCGACUCCAUGAAGCUGGAAUCGCUAGUAAUCGCGGAUCAGCAUGCCGCGGUGAUACGUUCCCGGGCAUUGUACACACCGCCCGUCACACCAUGAGAGUUGGCUGUACCAGAAGUCGUCGGGCCAAC
Molecule: ribosomal RNA, 1458 nt
Filed under: uncultured organism
Description: 16S ribosomal RNA
Rfam family: Bacterial small subunit ribosomal RNA
Source: RNAcentral